Molecule: transfer RNA, 73 nt
Filed under: Felis catus (domestic cat)
Lineage: Eukaryota; Metazoa; Chordata; Mammalia; Carnivora; Felidae
Also listed under: 1 other name
Rfam family: tRNA
About the family: Transfer RNA (tRNA) molecules are approximately 80 nucleotides in length. Their secondary structure includes four short double-helical elements and three loops (D, anti-codon, and T loops).
Source: Rfam by way of RNAcentral
ACCUGGCUGGCUCAGUUGGUAGAGCAGGUGACUCUUGAUCUCUGGGUCAUGAGUUCAAGCCCCAUGUUGGGCC